This 74-nucleotide transfer RNA is filed under the name Sulfurovaceae bacterium. RNAcentral's name for it is "tRNA-Cys". It matches the Rfam family "tRNA". Rfam says of the family: Transfer RNA (tRNA) molecules are approximately 80 nucleotides in length. Lineage: Bacteria; Pseudomonadati; Campylobacterota; Epsilonproteobacteria; Campylobacterales; Sulfurovaceae. The record is from RNAcentral. RNAcentral also lists the same sequence under 1 other name.
GGUGCUAUCGCCAAGCGGUAAGGCCGCAGCCUGCAAAGCUGCUAUCCCCGGUUCAAAUCCGGGUGGCACCUCCA